This 2107-nucleotide long non-coding RNA is filed under the name Nicotiana tabacum (common tobacco). RNAcentral's name for it is "long non-coding RNA (NTAB_LNC012791)". The record is from RNAcentral. Lineage: Eukaryota; Viridiplantae; Streptophyta; Magnoliopsida; Solanales; Solanaceae.
UACACAUGAUAUCCAUAAGAAUUGAACUUAUUCUAUUAGUUAGUUAACUUUAUUUGCUGACUAACUAAAGGUGGAUAUUCUUGCCACCAAAACUAUUCACCUUGGACAAAGAUUCCAAUUUCGACAAAGAUAAAACGGCCACCUUUUCAUACCCACUUUACAAAAAGAAUACUAACACAACAAGGACUAAAGCACAUGGCUUUGUAGAUAUAAAAACAUAGCGAAACUCAUACUACGUCAUACUAAACAUCCAUCCUCUUGUUCUUUUAGAUUAUGCACUAGAUUCAAGUAGUUCAAACUAGAGGAACAGGGAUAGAUGGAUCUGCGCACUACAAAAUAAACUAAACAAUUUAACUACAACAAAGAAACUGGUUACAAAUAUGCAGGUUUUAGCACUCAAACAUUCGGCGAAUCCUUUGAGAAAAUUGCUCGAAACUAUCAAGAAAAGAAACCUGCAUUACAAAGGUUUAUAAAGUUACCUGGAUAGCAGAAAGUAAAAGUGUUAGGAAUGACUGAAAUAACAGAAACCAGUAGCAACAAACAGCAUCAACCAACAGCUCUUAAACCAAAGAGACUGAACCAAAGAUGACCAACGAAGUAAUUGAAACCCGCAAUUAGUCACUCUAGAAAUUUACAAGAUCCCUCUACUUUCUUAAAUGUUUUGCACUUAAGAAUCGACUCAAAAAGCUCAUGAGUUUCAGCUUUCUUUUCAGCUUACUAUAGAUGUUAAGUUGAUCUUUUUUUUUCUCUCAAGUUUAGUGUUCCUUUUUCAGUGAAUCAGUAUCCCUAUUCUAAGUGUUAGAGAGUGUCUUUUAUAGGGGAAGAAAACCAUUUAAAUAGGCAAAUAAAGUCAGAUUUUUUGGACAGAUUUUGGUUCACCAAAAGUCUGUCCAAAAUACUGACUUUGUGUGCUAAACACUGUUCAAACUCUGUCCAAAAGGUGAAAGGACAACCUGAAGAUCUGCUAUGUCAGAAGUAAGGAGAAAAAAUAUCAUUUCAGCCACCCUACUAGUAUAGUAGGCUACUAUUAUCCUAUUUUGUGAUAAAAUAAUCUAAACUUCAGAUUUUAACCACACCAAUACCACCAUAUUGAUUUUGAACCAAAUCAAACUCAAACAACUAAGAAUUGACAAAACAGAAACAAGACUUCAAAUGGAACUAAAACUCAAACUAACUCGAUUAAAACAAAUUGAUUUGUGCAAACUAAAUAUAGAACAAAAAAACUAGAUUCACAAACUAAUGCUCAAAACAGAACGAGCAUCGUUAACAAUCGGGCGACGAUGUUCAACAAUUAAAUAAUUGAUUAACUAAGCAAACGAUUAAACUAAUACACAAGAGAUUAUGUUUAAUUAACAAUAGUCUAAAAAAUAACUAAACUAAAUAGAGAUAACUAAUUAUAUAAAUCUAACUUGAAACUCUAAUUAACAAUAACAAAUCCAAAACGGAAAAAUUAAAAUUGGGAACUACAAUUAAAAUCAAGAACUAACCUAGUACUACUAAAAAUAAAUCGAAAAUUAAGUAAAGAGAUGACGAUUAUACCUAACGACCGUGCUUGAAGCUGUUCAAGCCACGAAAAGACAUUGAAGAUGCCAAGAAGUGGUUUUCCGACCAUGGAACGCUUAUUUCAUUUAGGUAGACACCAAAUUCAAUGAACUUGGUGUUAUACCAAAAGGAAAUGAGUGUUCUUGUGCCGGAAUUAGGCUGAAACAGAGGAGGAGUGGGGCGAGUGGUCGCGGUAGUGGAGUGGCAGUGUGAGUGGGUCGGCGGGCAGCGGGGUAGUGGGGCAUUUGGGGUGGAAAUUGACAUGAAAAUAUACGUCUCGUGGGAGUCUAUCCGUUUAGGUAUGUGUCAUGGGGUGGAGAUGCCAUGAAUCGUGGGAAUUUGGGCAAAAUGGGUGGCGGCUAGGGUUCCCUAGAUCAGAAAUUCGUGGAGUUUGAGAGGGGUUUGAAGGAUUUGGUCUGAAGAUAUGGAAAAAGGAGGUGUUGGAGAUUACAUGGUGAAAUUUUGGGGGUGUUUGGACCAACCGCCGCGGCGGCAGACGGUGGUAGAGGCGGCGAACGAGAGAGAGCGAGAGGAGGGAGCUAGGGUUUGGUUAUGGAGUGAAAUG